UUACGGUCACAUCACGUUGAAACACCUGCUCCUGUACGAUCACCGAAGUUUAAGCAACGUCGAGCUUGGUUAGUACGUCGAUGGGGGACCGCUUGGAAAUACCAGGUGCUGUAAG
This 115-nucleotide ribosomal RNA is filed under the name Acanthosepion pharaonis. Lineage: Eukaryota; Metazoa; Mollusca; Cephalopoda; Sepiida; Sepiidae. The record is from RNAcentral.